RNAcentral lists this long non-coding RNA (1373 nucleotides) under Olea europaea subsp. europaea. Lineage: Eukaryota; Viridiplantae; Streptophyta; Magnoliopsida; Lamiales; Oleaceae. The record is from RNAcentral.
CUACUCUAAAUGUAAUAUAAACUAACUUGUGCAAAAGAAUAAGGAAAUGAUAAAAAAAAUUUAGUUGCUUAUCAAUAAAUGUUGAUCCAAUGCUCACUGUAGAAGAGGGCUGCUACUUGUCUUGGAUAAGACGGAUAUCCUAUGCAUAAAGCUAAGCUUAGAUUUAUCGUAAAUUUGUCCCAGUUCAAUAGUUCUUAGCAGGUUUUUUGGGACGUCUUCUAGAAGUAGAAGAAACUUGUGAAGUAAACUCUUGCGAUUGCACUCCUCAUCUAUUUACAGGUUUUGCAGUUUGGGGUCUAUUUUGCAGUGGGUGGCGCCAUUGUAGGUCGGGUGGUUUAGGAGGUUCUUGAGAAAGGUGAGCAAUUUGAAUUAUUUCUCUCUCCAAAGGUAUCUAAUCGAACUCCUUCCCUUACUUUGUUCAUAGUAGUCGGUUGAAUGGCCACUCUUCCCCUUUAUAGUCCUAUCAAUUGCACCAAGCGUGGGUUCCUUAUCAGUUGAAAAAUGAGACCUUCCAGCAAGCAAAUUCCAAACCUACUAUACUAUCUCUGAGAAGGGGUAUGAUGGUACGCGCCUUACGGGAAACAACAAAAGAGAUGGCAAUCAAAGGGGCAAUGAGCAGCUCUAAGGCUUGUGGAAUUGAAAGGCGCCCCCAGUGACAACCGCAGCAGCAGAGGAACGACAAUCAGAGGCAGAAAAAAAAAAAAGCAGGUGCCAUACAACUAUGAAGGCCAAGGAGAGCGUCCUUCACGAGAAUUUACCCUGCUUGCAUUAUGGCUAAGUCAAAUACUACCUAAAAUGCUGGAGCAUAGACUAGUCGAACCCUUCCGUGUCAAUCGUCAUCCGAUUUACCUAGCCCAAAAAAGACAAGCAAUACAGGGUCUUCAAGGAAGAGGUUAGGUUCCUUCAGAAGUAGCAGCAAAGCAAUUGACUAAAUCAUCAUCGAUAGAUCAAAGCACAGUAAAUAGAGUCCCAGGUGUAGGAGAGGAAACGGUCGCAAGAUCUUAGCCAAAAAUUGACAUAGGAGUGAUUAAAGCGAUUGGACUUCUUUCCUUAGCCUUAAUCAUAACCCUUCCUCUAAGGAGUGAAGUUUGAAGGAGAGAGAAAGCUCUUUUUAUCAAAUAGGCUAGCUUCACCAAAUAAAUUGACUAUCAGAACAGAAACCAUACUACCCAAACAAAGGAUACCAUCUUAGGCAUAGCAAAAAGCAAGGUCAACCAAACUAAUCUAUCCCAUCCACCCAAGCCAAUAUUGCCGACAAGGAUAAAAAGGCUAUUGCCUCCGCGAAAUCGACGGGAAUGGUUAUAGGUAAUAGCCUCUUUUCUUUAGGUUAGAGCCAAAGAUUUUAUUUGGGGGGGGGGGGGGGGGGAAGAGAG